GGUGUUAUCGUAUAGUGGUUAGUACAAGACGUUGUGGAAACACAAUUCCGUCUAGACCCCGGUUCGAUUCCGGGUAACGCCA
Molecule: non-coding RNA, 82 nt
Organism: Xylariales sp. PMI_506
Lineage: Eukaryota; Fungi; Ascomycota; Sordariomycetes; Xylariales
Source: the annotation of a GenBank genome assembly